UGCAAGUCGAGCGGUAGCACAGAGAGCUUGCUCUCGGGUGACGAGCGGCGGACGGGUGAGUAAUGUCUGGGAAACUGCCUGAUGGAGGGGGAUAACUACUGGAAACGGUAGCUAAUACCGCAUAACGUCGCAAGACCAAAGUGGGGGACCUUCGGGCCUCAUGCCAUCAGAUGUGCCCAGAUGGGAUUAGCUGGUAGGUGGGGUAACGGCUCACCUAGGCGACGAUCCCUAGCUGGUCUGAGAGGAUGACCAGCCACACUGGAACUGAGACACCGUCCAGACUCCUACGGGAGGCAGCAGUGGGGAAUAUUGCACAAUGGGCGCAAGCCUGAUGCAGCCAUGCCGCGUGUGUGAAGAAGGCCUUCGGGGNGUAAAGCACUUUCAGCGGGGAGGGAGGGGAUUAGGUUAAUACCUUGUCGAUUGACGUUACCCCAAAGAAGCACCGGUAAC
RNAcentral lists this ribosomal RNA (450 nucleotides) under uncultured bacterium. RNAcentral describes it as "bacterial SSU rRNA". It matches the Rfam family "Bacterial small subunit ribosomal RNA", at positions 56 to 500 of the family's 1533-position model. The record is from RNAcentral.